GAUAAACGCUGGCUACAGGCUUAACACAUGCAAGUCGAGGGGAAACGACGGGGAAGCUUGCUUCCCCGGGCGUCGACCGGCGCACGGGUGAGUAACGCGUAUCCAACCUGCCUCUGACUGAGGGAUAACCCGUCGAAAGUCGGCCUAAUACCUCAUGGCAUCGUCUGCGGGCAUCCAACGACGAUUAAAGAUUUCAUCGGUCAGGGAUGGGGAUGCGUCUGAUUAGCUUGUUGGCGGGGUAACGGCCCACCAAGGCUACGAUAAGUAGGGGUUCUGUGAGGAAGGUCCCCCACAUUGGAACUGAGACACGGUCCAAACUCCUACGGGAGGCAGCAGUGAGGAAUAUUGGUCAAUGGGCGGGAGCCUGAACCAGCCAAGUAGCGUGCAGGAUGGCGGCCCUAUGGGUUGUAAACUGCUUUUAUGCGGGGAUAAAGUGAGGGACGUGUCCUUCAUUGCAGGUACCGCAUGAAUAAGGACCGGCUAAUUCCGUG
This 491-nucleotide ribosomal RNA is filed under the name uncultured bacterium. RNAcentral's name for it is "partial 16S ribosomal RNA". It matches the Rfam family "Bacterial small subunit ribosomal RNA", at positions 28 to 507 of the family's 1533-position model. The record is from RNAcentral.